Molecule: long non-coding RNA, 751 nt
Organism: Zootermopsis nevadensis
Lineage: Eukaryota; Metazoa; Arthropoda; Insecta; Blattodea; Termopsidae
Source: RefSeq, a predicted model, not a curated record
GUGGAUCUACAGCACCUGAAAGACCUUGGUCUCCGCUCUUCUUAGUCAAUCGGCAGGACUCCUUGGAUGAGAUUUUGAGGCUUGUGUUUCCGUUCCAGAGAGCAGCUGUAAGAGUUAACUGUCAGAUACAGAGCAGAAGAAGAUGAAAUGAAAGCGUGGCCUUCGGUACAGCGCGGUCCAAAGUAGUGAAGACGCCUAACAGAUGCUUCAACAUCAUCCAACCAUCGAAUUCGGCACGAUACAACGAUACUAAUCGAAUCGACAUGGUCUUUCUAAUUCGAUACAUAUCAUAAUCAACCCAGAAAAGCCACUAUAACGUCCAUCCCGCUUACAGGGACCCCCCAAACGCAAUUUUUAACCAAAAAAAAACAUUAACUUUUUAGUGUUAUAACAGAUAUUUUUUCGUGUUUUUCUAUCAGUAAUUUCUGGAUAAAUCUGUAGAUAUCAUUCCAAUUAUUUAUCAGAUUACGUGAUAUGCCACCUAAAUUCAACUGGACAUAUGCAAGAACGAAAAUUCACUUAACAAAUUCUUGAUUCGUAUUUUAUUCGUAAAAAAUAUAUUAUAUUAAAAUAAUAAAAAAUAAAUAAUUUUAAAUCGUAUUGGGUUCAGUUAUGUAACGUCUGAUUCAAGCCGGUGAUGGGUCCCAGUGUCACGGAAACGGCUUACGAGACGAGAUAUCGAUAUAUGUGACAGAUAACAAUCGAGAAAUGUAUCCCUAAACUCAUUCUGGAAAGUUAAGUGAGAACGAGA